Molecule: ribosomal RNA, 360 nt
Filed under: Candidatus Omnitrophota bacterium
Lineage: Bacteria; Pseudomonadati; Candidatus Omnitrophota
Description: partial 23S ribosomal RNA
Rfam family: Bacterial large subunit ribosomal RNA
Source: RNAcentral
AGUCAUGUAUAAGGGCGUAUGGAGGAUGCCUAGACACUAAGAGGCGACGAAGGACGUGACGUGCCUGCGAUAAACUUCGGGGAGGCGGCUAGUGGCCUGCGAUCCGGAGGUGUCCGAACGGGGAAACCCAGUACAGUAAACCUGUAUUACUCGGCGAAAGCCGGGAGCAUACCUGGGGAAGUGAAACAUCUCAGUACCCAGAGGAAAAUAAAUAGAAUAGAUUCCGUGAGUAGCGGCGAGCGAAAGCGGAACAGCCUAAACCUUUUUACGAUAGCAAUAUUGUGGGAAGGGGUAAUAGGGACGAUACACUUGAAUUUUUUACAUCGGAAUCUUCCAUCGAAGACGAUGUAAAAGAUUUAA